GACUAGUCCAAGUGCCGUCAUGUUUACAACUGAUUGAUCACAAGAAAUCGCAAAUUUCUUUGUUCCUUCUCCACUCUCACUGCUUCAUUUGACUAGCCUUAA
Chlorocebus sabaeus (green monkey) is the source of this 102-nucleotide non-coding RNA. It matches the Rfam family "Y RNA". Rfam says of the family: Y RNAs are components of the Ro ribonucleoprotein particle (Ro RNP), in association with Ro60 and La proteins. The Y RNAs and Ro60 and La proteins are well conserved, but the function of the Ro RNP is not known. In humans the RNA component can be one of four small RNAs -- hY1, hY3, hY4 and hY5. The record is from Rfam. Lineage: Eukaryota; Metazoa; Chordata; Mammalia; Primates; Cercopithecidae.